CUAGCCGUAAACGAUGGACACUAGGUGUUGGUGGUAUCAACCCCGCCAGUGCCGUAGCUAACGCAUUAAGUGUCCCGCCUGGGGAGUACGGCCGCAAGGCUAAAACUCAAAGGAAUUGACGGGGGCCCGCACAAGCAGCGGAGCGUGGGGUUUAAUUCGACGCAACGCGAAGAACCUUACCAGGGCUUGACAUGGUCAGGACACCGGCGGAAACGUCGGCUCCCCGCAAGGGGCCUGAUCACAGGUGU
RNAcentral lists this ribosomal RNA (248 nucleotides) under uncultured bacterium. RNAcentral describes it as "partial 16S ribosomal RNA". It matches the Rfam family "Bacterial small subunit ribosomal RNA", at positions 796 to 1041 of the family's 1533-position model. The record is from RNAcentral.